This 1316-nucleotide long non-coding RNA is filed under the name Equus caballus (horse). RNAcentral describes it as "lncRNA (ENSECAG00000054071.1)". Lineage: Eukaryota; Metazoa; Chordata; Mammalia; Perissodactyla; Equidae. The record is from RNAcentral.
AUUGUAGCUUCCAUUUCCAUGGGUCUUCUUCUCAUUUUCCCUAAUAAAGUUUCAACUUUACAGUUAAGUUAAAAAGAGCACCAUAAACUGCUAAGCAAGAGAGAGAAAUAACUAUUUCUUCUGAUGCUGCUGGAGAUCCGGGUAGUCCGGGAAAGGAUGUCAGUUAAUGAUUUCCCUCCUCAGUGCAGCCUGAAUCCCGUCUGCAGCUCCCUCGUGGUAUGAUUCCACGAAGCACUGGAAAAUUAAGGAGGAAAUCUACUGCCAUUCUUCAACUCCUGACACGUUUAUGGAAGCCCCAGUCCACACUAGACAGAGUGAUCGGGUCUGCUGGUACAGUUUCUGCUAGCAGGGGCCUUACCCUCCAGUUUAAAAGAUAGGAGAGGAGAAGAGACACUCUGAGGCAGCCGAACCUGCAGAAUGCCAUGUGAAGACAAAGGCAGACACUGGAGUAGUGUCUACCAGCCAAGGCAUGUCAACGGUUUCCAGCAACACCAGAAGCUGAGAGAAGGUAAUAGAAUGCUUCUUUCCUUAGUGAGACCAUGGCCCUGAUUUCAGACUUCCAGCCUUCUGUGACAGAAUGAAUUUCUGUUGUGUUGAGCCACUAAGUUUGUGGUACAUUUUUAUAGCACCCAGAGGAAACUUAUACAACUGGGUUCUAAUAGCUCAGUUAAGUAAAACAGAGUGAAAACAUCUAAACUGAAAAAUCAAGAUGUCUCCCCACUCACAUAUUUAAUCUAAAAUUUGGGGUAUGCAAAAAAGAGUUAGCAGACUUGAGACUGCCAUCCUUAUAAAGGUCUGUUUGCAACUUUGGCCUUUGUCUGGCAUUUGGGAACUUAGCUCUUGGAAUGUUCCCAGGCAACAUUUAACUGAUAAGGCUGGCUGACUCUGCCUACAUUAUUUGUGUAAACAAUAUGGUUAAUGGGGUACAUAUCGUUUUUGCCAAACACCUCCUUUCCUCUGGGAAUCUGGAAUUUUGGUACCUGCUAGACAAAGGGUGCCUCUGUGACCAGUCCCCACUGAAAACCUCGGCAGCUGAAUCUCUGAUAGGCUUCCGUGAGUAGAGCAAUUGUACGUACGUUGCUGCAUUUUUGUUGAUGGAAGAAAAGGACGCUCUGUGUGAUUCCUCAUGGGAGGGAAUGAACAUAAAGAAGCCUUCACGUGGAUUUAUCCAGACUUUAUACCCAUGCCAUUUUCUCUUAAGAUCUGGAUGUGUAUCCUUAAAAUAUCACCGUAAUAAAUCUUAGCUAUGUGUACAGCUGUAUGCUGAAUACCUUAAAUUCUUCCAGCAAGUCUCUGAACAUAGGAGUGGUGAUGGG